GCCAAGCACGGGCCAUCCCUUCAUCUGCAAGGGGCGCCAGUUCACCUCAGCCUUUAAUUAGCCACAGGCCAAAUCCUUCAUCCAGAUCAGGAGUAGCUGACAGGGACCUCAAAUGGAGUAUUUAACACCCAGAAAACUUUGUAACUGGGCCCUUCAGCCACUUGCUCCAGCCCACUCCCACCCUGUGGAGUGCUUUCUCACUUUUUUUUUUUUUUUUUAAUUUAUUGAGAUGGGGUGUUGCUCUGUCACCCAGGCUGGAGUGCAGUGGCUCAAUCUCAGCUCAAUGCAACUUCUGCCGCUCGGGUUCAAGGGAUUCUUGUGCCUCAGCCUCCUGAGUAGCUAGGACUACAGGUGCACACUACCAUGCUCAGUUAAAUUUUUGUAUUUAGAGGCCGGGCGCGGUGGCUCACACCUGUAAUCCCAGCACUUUGGGAGGCCGAGGUGGGCAGAACACGAGGUCAGGAGAUCGAGACCAUCCUGGCUAACACGGUGAAACUCCGUCUCUACUAAAACACAAAAAAUUAGCCGGGCGUGGUGGUGGGCGCCUGUGGUCCCAGCUACUUGGGAGGCUGAGGCAGGAGAAUGCUGCGAACCUGGGAGGCUGAGUUUGCAGUGAGCAGGGAUUGCGCCACUGCACUCCAGCCUGGGUGACAGAGCAAGACUCCGUCUCAAAAAAAAAAAAAAAUUGUUUUGUAUUUAGAGUACAUUGUGUUUGAGUAUUUUGAUGAGCCCAGGUUACCACAUUCUCAUUGCUUGGUUAGUUUCCAAGCUGGCAUCCUGCUUCCCUCUCUGGUCCUUCCCAAGCCAUCCUACCAAGGCAUGACUCAUGGCUUCCCAUUGCCAGGACCUUAAGGCCCCUUGAGCUUUCAGCCUUUCAGCCUCUUCUCCCAUCAUGACCUCAGGCAAGUCUUUCUGCUCUAGCUGAACUAGGACUCUAAACAUACGGAACUCAUACCUGCCUCCUGCCUUGGCUAUUACUGAUCCUCCCCCUUGGAAGACCCUCUUCUUUUUUCUCUGCUUCAAGGACCAGUUUAAGUUUCACCAGCUCAUAGGGCCUGAUAUGGUUUGGCUCUUUGUUCCCACCCAAAUUUCAUUUUUUUUUUUUUUUUUUUUUUUUUUUUUUUGAGAUGAAGUCUUGCUCUGUUGCCCAGGCUGGAGUGCAGUGGCAUGAUCUCGGCUCAUCACAACCUUCGCCUCCGGGGUUCUAGCAAUUUUCCUGCCUCAGCCUCCCAAGUAGCUGGGACUACAGGCCCAGACUGCCACGCCUGGUUAAUUUCUUUUUUUUUUUUUUGUAUUUUAGUAGAGAUGGGGUUUCACCGUGUUGCCCAGGCUGGUCUCAGACUCCUGAGCUCAGGCAAUCCACCCACCUCGGCCUCCCAAAUUGCUAGGAUUACAGGCAUGAGCCACUGUACCCGGCCAUCCAAAUUUCAUCUUAUAGCUUCCAUGAGUCCCACAUGUUGUGGGAGGGACCCGGUGGGAGAUGACUGAAUUAUGGGGAUGGGUCUUUCCAGUGCUGUUCUCGUGAUAGUGAAUGGAUCUCAUGAGAUCUGAUGGUUUUUAAAAUGGGAGUUGCCCUGACAAGCUCCUUUUUUGCCUGCUGCCAUCCAUCUAAGAUGUGACUUGCUUCUCCUUGCCUUCCACCAUGAUUGUGAGGCCUUCUCAGCCAUGUGGAACUGUAAGUCCAGUAAACCUCUUUCUUUUGUAAAUUGCCCAGUCUUGGAUAUAUCUUUAUCAGUAGUGUGAAAGUGGACUAAUACAGGGCCCUUCUUCUUCUUUUUUUUUUUUUGAGAUGGAGUCUCGCUCUGUCGCCCAGGAUGGAGUGCAGUGGUGCUGAGAUGUGACAAUGUGCUAGCAGCCCUCGCUCCCUCUCAGCACCUCCUUGGCCUCGGCGUCCGCUCUGGCCACGCUUGAGGAGCCCUUCAGCCCGCUGCUGCACUCUGGGAGCCCCUCUCUGGGCUGGCCGAGGCCGGAGCCGGCUCUCUCUGCUUGUGGGGAGGUGUGAGGGAGAGGUGUGGGCAGGAA
This 2022-nucleotide long non-coding RNA is filed under the name Homo sapiens (human). RNAcentral's name for it is "HSALNT0224210". The stretch from base 523 to 574 matches the Rfam family "mir-1268 microRNA precursor family". The record is from RNAcentral. Lineage: Eukaryota; Metazoa; Chordata; Mammalia; Primates; Hominidae.